AUUGAACGCUGGCAGCAGGCCUAACACAUGCAAGUCGAGCGGGGACUUCGGUCCUAGCGGCGAACGGGUGAGUAAUGCUUGGGAAUCUGCCCAGUAGUGGGGGAUAACGUCCCGAAAGGGACGCUAAUACCGCAUACGUCCUACGGGAGAAAGAGGGGGAUCUUCGGACCUCUCGCUAUUGGAUGAGCCCAAGUCGGAUUAGCUAGUUGGUAGGGUAAUGGCCUACCAAGGCGACGAUCCGUAGCUGGUCUGAGAGGAUGAUCAGCCACACUGGAACUGAGACACGGUCCAGACUCCUACGGGAGGCAGCAGUGGGGAAUAUUGGACAAUGGGCGAAAGCCUGAUCCAGCCAUGCCGCGUGUGUGAAGAAGGCCUUCGGGUUGUAAAGCACUUUAAGCGGGGAGGAAGGUUCGCGGCCUAAUACGUCGCGGAAUUGACGUUACCCGCAGAAUAAGCACCGGCUAACUCUGUG
This 472-nucleotide ribosomal RNA is filed under the name uncultured bacterium. RNAcentral's name for it is "partial 16S ribosomal RNA". It matches the Rfam family "Bacterial small subunit ribosomal RNA", at positions 30 to 507 of the family's 1533-position model. The record is from RNAcentral.